This 380-nucleotide ribosomal RNA is filed under the name uncultured eukaryote. Its description in RNAcentral is "partial 18S ribosomal RNA". It matches the Rfam family "Eukaryotic small subunit ribosomal RNA", at positions 592 to 976 of the family's 1831-position model. The record is from RNAcentral.
CAAUAGCGUAUAUUAAAGUUGUUGCAGUUAAAAAGCUCGUAGUUGGAUUUGUGGCGUACGGUGUGUUCCGGGCACUUGUUGUCUGAGUAACCUGCUGUUGCCAUCCUUGGGUGGAACCUGUGUGGCAUUAGGUUGUCGUGCAGGGGAUGCCCAUCAUUUACUGUGAAAAAAUUAGAGUGUUCAAAGCAGGCUUAUGCCGUUGAAUAUAUUAGCAUGGAAUAAUGAGAUAGGAAUUUUUUGCUAUUUUGUUGGUUUGCGCAAAGAGGUAAUGAUUAAUAGGGACAGUUGGGGGUAUUCGUAUUCCAUUGUCAGAGGUGAAAUUCUUGGAUUUUUGGAAGACGAACUACUGCGAAAGCAUUUACCAAGGAUGUUUUCAUUAA